CUGACGACCGUCAAGCCUUCAUAGUACACCACCUGCAACGCAGCGUGAAGAGGGAAGAAGCCGACAUGUCAGCUGCGAGGGAGACUGGCAGAGACCCCUGAAUCAUCCUCACGACCACGGCGACUUAAUUCCCAUAAAACAUUUCCUAGAGAGGCACACAGAAGGCUUGCAAGUUGCAAUUUAAACACACGUUCAUGAUUUGAGCUCAGGAGAACAUGACAAACACACGCGGUCUUCACAAAUACAUGAAGUCUCGAACAAGUCACCCAAGUCUUCAGAAGGAAACAGCAGUUGUAAUAAAUAAGGAGACGGCAGUAAAUAUGUUUGGCGAAAAGCUGUAAAUCUUCAGAACAACAACAAUAAUUAAUAUAAUAUUAAUUAAUAGCAAUAAUAUCCAGUUCUUUUCAUGUGGAACAUGGAGUGGACAUGGUUGUGACUGGCUCAGGACAGACAAUAAGAAACUACAGUACGAGCAGACUGACCACAAUGUCUCAACAUACACCACUCUUCCAAAUGUGCGUGUUGCAUAGGGCUGCACAAUUCUGAUCACAUCUUUACUGUUCACACAGUCCCAUUCAGUCACAAAAACGAUUCCACAUAACCUGCAACAAAUGGAAAUGCUUCAUUUGUGCCUGAACACCACAGGAAGUGGAACUUUUGUGAAAUUGAUGAU
This is a long non-coding RNA of Thalassophryne amazonica, 673 nucleotides long. RefSeq lists it as uncharacterized. The transcript has 3 exons. The record is from RefSeq and is a predicted model, not a curated record. NCBI's taxonomy places the organism in Eukaryota, Metazoa, Chordata, Actinopteri, Batrachoidiformes, Batrachoididae.